Molecule: long non-coding RNA, 1571 nt
Organism: Esox lucius (northern pike)
Lineage: Eukaryota; Metazoa; Chordata; Actinopteri; Esociformes; Esocidae
Exons: 5
Source: RefSeq, a predicted model, not a curated record
UUCAAAGCUGGGAAAGGCCGUUGCAGGAACCAGCCGGCAGCGUGAGCUGAGUGCAGAGUUCAAAAGGAUUGUCACCAAAGACCUGAUGGAGCCUUUUCUGGAUGGACUAGAUGCCAUGAUGCCAAGGCUUUUGGAGCUGUACAAAGCGGCUGUUGCAUUGAGCAGGAGGUUGACCUUGAGCAGUGUUCUGCAGUGUCUUCAAAAGGAGGUAAUAGGAAGUGUCACAGGGCAAAUUAAGCAGCUGAGACGAGGUCUUAAAGAAACCCCAAUGUGGACACUGGUGACCCAAAGACCUGACACAGUGGCCUUGCUUUUUCCGAAAGAGGGAGCAGGACAUUUCUGCCCUGAGGUACUUCCACAUGGCCUCGUGAGGAUAGUGACGAUUUUUCAGUUGACACCAAAUGCCGCAUACCAGGCUAUCUUCGACAGUUCAUUGCUAAUGCAACACCAACUGAACUGACCGAACUGGUCAAAUUCUGGACCGGACGGAAGAUUCUACCACCGAGUCUCUCUGUAGAAGAGGUCGAGGGCAGAUACCCCACAGCCUCCACUUGCUUUGAGACCUUGCGCAUCCCAGGGCAUUACAAGGAUUACACAUCUUUUAAAUGUGACAUCCUGGCCUGUAUUGACAGUUGCCUUAUAGGAUUUGGUCUUGUGUGAGUGACAUUUGGCUUGUAUUUACCCUUGUAAGACAAUAUUUGAUGUUAAAAUGUUUUUAAGCUUGUUAGUUGUUCUGUUAAAAGACCUGUUGUAAACUCUCACGCUCAAAGAAAACAUUCAGGAAGUUGUUAAUGUAUACUGAAUAUAUUUUCACACUGUUACUGAGAGUACUUUGCAGUAACCUUUGGCAAUAAAUGGUCAGUUCAUUGAGGUAAACUUCUCUGACUCUGAACUCCUGUGAAGCCCUCGUAUAACCACUGAAAAGCAAUAUUUUGCCCCCCCAAUAUCCAUCUCAGGUUUGGGAAUAAACCUCAAUGUUCAAAAUAAUUCAUAGCUUUUUCCUGGUUCAUGAUGCUUUCACACGGUGUAAAGGGGGCCGGAUAGCGAAAGAGAAGUGCAAUAAAAAUGAGAAAAGGUUAUUAAACGAUAACAACACUUGUUUUUCUCACCUUCCAGGCAGCCAUUGAUUUUUCUUUGACAAUUUAGUACACUAUAAACUUCAGACCUAACCUGUUUGAGUUAAGUAAUCAAUCAUAAAAUGGCUAGACUGUUAAGCAGUUGAUAUACCUUUUCAUUCAUGUUAUUUUAAUAGGUUUACGUAACUUGUCAUAAAUGGAAUUAUUUGGUGAUUAUCUAGGCGUAGAUCUUUUUGAAACAGAUCACCCUACUUAAACCAGUGAGAAGAAAAAUGUGAUAACCAAAAUUGUUUUACCCGUGUCAGAAAAUGUUUUUCAUGUAGAAUAAAAUGUCUUUAAAGAAGUUAUAAUUGUUGACAAAUAAAUGAAUACACUUAUGGUCCUUAUAACUGCAUCCGUAAUAAAUUGUUUAUAUGCUGAUUAUACACGAUAAAUAGGGGGACUUAAGUGUUACUGAGAAAAUUGUAACAAUUAGGGUCAUCUGUCAAUCUCAGC